Molecule: ribosomal RNA, 374 nt
Filed under: uncultured prokaryote
Description: bacterial SSU rRNA
Rfam family: Bacterial small subunit ribosomal RNA
Source: RNAcentral
UACAGAGGUCCCAAGCGUUGUUCGGAUUUACUGGGCGUAAAGGGUGCGUAGGCGGUCAAAAAAGUCUGAUGUGAAAUCUCGGAGCCUAACUCCGAAACUGCAUUGGAAACUGUUUGACUUGAGGAGUGGAGGGGAGACUGGAAUUCUCGGUGUAGCAGUGAAAUGCGUAGAUAUCGAGAGGAACACCAGUGGCGAAGGCGAGUCUCUAGACAUUUCCUGACGCUGAGGCGCGAAGGCCUGGGGAGCAAGCGGGAUUAGAUACCCCGGUAGUCUUGGCUGUAAGCGGUGAACAUUUGCUGUGGCGGGUUUCGACCCCGCCAGUGGCGAAGCUAACGCGAUAAAUGCGCCGCCUGGGGAGUACGGUCGCAAGAUUA